RNAcentral lists this transfer RNA (72 nucleotides) under Stegodyphus mimosarum. It matches the Rfam family "tRNA". From Rfam's summary of the family: Transfer RNA (tRNA) molecules are approximately 80 nucleotides in length. Lineage: Eukaryota; Metazoa; Arthropoda; Arachnida; Araneae; Eresidae. The record is from Rfam by way of RNAcentral.
GCGUUCGUGGUGUAGUGGUCAGCACGCUGGGCGCAUAUCCAGAGGUCUGUGGUUCGAGUCCCGGCGAAGGCG